AGCGAACGCUGGCGGCAGGCUUAACACAUGCAAGUCGAGCGGGCACUUUCGGGUGUCCGCGGCGGACGGGUGAGUAACGCGUGGGAACGUGCCCUCUGGUUCGGAAUAACUCAGGGAAACUUGAGCUAAUACCGGAUACGCCCUUUUGGGGAAAGGCUUGCUGCCGGAGGAUCGGCCCGCGUCUGAUUAGCUAGUUGGUGAGGUAACGGCUCACUAAGGCGACGAUCAGUAGCUGGUCUGAGAGGAUGAUCAGCCACACUGGGACUGAGACACGGCCCAGACUCCUACGGGAGGCAGCAGUGGGGAAUAUUGGACAAUGGGCGCAAGCCUGAUCCAGCCAUGCCGCGUGAGUGAUGAAGGCCUUAGGGUUGUAAAGCUCUUUUAUCCGGGACGAUAAUGACGGUACCGGAGGAAUAAGCCCCGGCUAACUUCGUG
This 435-nucleotide ribosomal RNA is filed under the name uncultured bacterium. RNAcentral's name for it is "partial 16S ribosomal RNA". It matches the Rfam family "Bacterial small subunit ribosomal RNA", at positions 29 to 507 of the family's 1533-position model. The record is from RNAcentral.